UACGAAGGGGGCUAGCGUUGCUCGGAAUUACUGGGCGUAAAGGGAGCGUAGGCGGGUUAUCAAGUUGGAGGUGAAAGCCCAGGGCUCAACCUUGGAAUUGCCUUCAAAACUGAUAGCCUAGAGUAUGAUAGAGGUAUGUGGAACUCCGAGUGUAGAGGUGAAAUUCGUAGAUAUUCGGAAGAACACCAGUGGCGAAGGCGAACAUACUGGGUCAUGGACUGACGCUGAGGCUCGAAAGCGUGGGGGAGCAA
RNAcentral lists this ribosomal RNA (251 nucleotides) under uncultured bacterium. Its description in RNAcentral is "partial 16S ribosomal RNA". It matches the Rfam family "Bacterial small subunit ribosomal RNA", at positions 524 to 771 of the family's 1533-position model. The record is from RNAcentral.